RNAcentral lists this ribosomal RNA (467 nucleotides) under uncultured bacterium. RNAcentral describes it as "partial 16S ribosomal RNA". It matches the Rfam family "Bacterial small subunit ribosomal RNA", at positions 28 to 506 of the family's 1533-position model. The record is from RNAcentral.
GACGAACGCUGGCGGCGUGCUUAACACAUGCAAGUCGAACGGAAAGGCCCUGCUUUUGUGGGGUGCUCGAGUGGCGAACGGGUGAGUAACACGUGAGUAACCUGCCCUUGACUUUGGGAUAACUUCAGGAAACUGGGGCUAAUACCGGAUAGGAGCUCCUGCUGCAUGGUGGGGGUUGGAAAGUUUCGGCGGUUGGGGAUGGACUCGCGGCUUAUCAGCUUGUUGGUGGGGUAGUGGCUUACCAAGGCUUUGACGGGUAGCCGGCCUGAGAGGGUGACCGGCCCAAUGGGGACUGGGAUACGGCCCAGCCUCCUACGGGGGGCAGGAGGGGGGAAUUUUGCAAAAGGGGCGGAAGCCUGAUGCAGCAACGCCGGGGGGGGGAUGGCGGCCUUGGGGUUGUAAACCGCUUUCGCCUGUGACGAAGGGGGAGUGACGGUAAUGGGUAAAGAAGCACCGGCUAACUACGU